AAAUUGCAAAAAAAUUAAUAUAAAAAUCAAAAGUUGAAUUAAAAGACUUCUUCAUCAACUCUUUUCGAAAUCUCAAGAAAUUCGUGCAUAUGUUCUUCGUCCAACUUAAACGAUCAAGAACAAUACUCUAACAAAUCAAAAAAACAAAUACAAAAUUAAGGAAAAAGAAUUAUAGUAAAAAACUAAACAUGAUAUUAAAAAAAAG
Molecule: long non-coding RNA, 205 nt
Filed under: Lathyrus oleraceus (garden pea)
Lineage: Eukaryota; Viridiplantae; Streptophyta; Magnoliopsida; Fabales; Fabaceae
Description: Pisum sativum (pea) long non-coding RNA (PSAT_LNC033888)
Source: RNAcentral